RNAcentral lists this unclassified non-coding RNA (1078 nucleotides) under Bombus terrestris (buff-tailed bumblebee). Its description in RNAcentral is "misc RNA ENSBTSG00005034507.1". Lineage: Eukaryota; Metazoa; Arthropoda; Insecta; Hymenoptera; Apidae. The record is from RNAcentral.
GUAUACAUUUUUCCCACCUGUCUGGUAAUUGGUGGAUGCCACGCCAAAAAAACUGUCGCUCUUUUGAGGCAAACCAGUCAUCGAGCCAUUUUCGUACAUCUUCGUAAGAAGUGAAGUGCUGGUCAGAAAGUGCGUGUCCCAUCGAUGCAAAUAAAUAGUAAUCGGACGGAGCCAAGUCUGGCCUGAUAAGUGGUCCGAAACUAGCUGAAGAACUUUUGAUAAAGACUAAAAAGAAGGUGUACUCUCAAACCAUGCGCAGAACAUUGAAAAAAGGCUAUUACAGUGAAAGAGUUGCUCGGAGACAGCCAUUUGUAAACGAAGCGAAUAGAAAGAAAAAAUUCAGAUGGGCGGCGAAUAAUAUGGCGGAAGAAGAAUAAAGAAUUUUAAUUGAAAAUUACGAAACCCAUUGUAAAAUAUGGUAAUGGAAACGUGCUUGCGUGGGGAUGUAUUUCAAUGUUUGGAACGGGCGAAUUAGAUUUUGUUGAUAACAUUAUGGACGAAUAUAGAUAUUUAAAUAUUAAAAAAAAAUUUACUCAAAAGUGCUUUGAAAAUAGGGAUUGUUGAUAUAUUUAAGUACUAUCAAGAUAACGAUCUUAAACAUAAGGUCCGCAUAUGGAAAUAUUUGUUGCAUAACUAUCCAAAAUUAUUACACCCUGCAUCUCAGUCACCAAAUCUGAACCCGAUUCGAAACCUAUGGGAAGAACUAGAAAGGUGAAUUAGAAAAAUUCCAAUAAUGUCAAAAGAAGUGCUGAAACAGCGAUUAAAGGAAGAAUGGAAUAGUAUUAAUACUGGAUACCUGAACAAAUAAUUUGUAAUAUGCCACAACGUUUGAAGGAAGUUAUUGAUCAAGAAGGUUACUCUAUACAUCACUUGUAAAAUGUAAUAAAUAAUAAAUAAUAAAGAAAAGAAUUACUUAUAUUUUAAAGUCCGAAUAUUAGAGUAAUGUUUCAUUUAAUACGUAUUAUUUAACAAGCUCUGGAUGUUAUGUAAAUAAUAUUUAUACUCUUGUUAACUAAACAGAGUACCUAAAUAUUGUAUAAUAUUAUAAUAAGUAACUAACUAUACCAUUUACGUUUUU